GGGAACGUACCUUUCGGUUCGGAAUAAUCCAGGGAAACUUGGACUAAUACCGGAUACGCCCUUCGGGGGAAAGAUUCAUCGCCGAAAGAUCGGCCCGCGUCUGAUUAGCUAGUUGGUGAGGUAAAGGCUCACCAAGGCGACGAUCAGUAGCUGGUCUGAGAGGAUGAUCAGCCACAUUGGGACUGAGACACGGCCCAAACUCCUACGGGAGGCAGCAGUGGGGAAUAUUGGACAAUGGGCGCAAGCCUGAUCCAGCCAUGCCGCGUGAGUGAUGAAGGCCUUAGGGUUGUAAAGCUCUUUUGUCCGGGAAGAUAAUGACUGUACCGGAAGAAUAAGCCCCGGCUAACUUCGUGCCAGCAGCCGCGGUAAUACGAAGGGGGCUAGCGUUGCUCGGAAUCACUGGGCGUAAAGGGCGCGUAGGCGGACUUUUAAGUCGGAGGUGAAAGCCCAGGGCUCAACCCUGGAAUUGCCUUCGAUACUGGGAGUCUUGAGUUCGGAAGAGGUUGGUGGAACUGCGAGU
Molecule: ribosomal RNA, 520 nt
Filed under: uncultured bacterium
Lineage: Bacteria
Description: bacterial SSU rRNA
Rfam family: Bacterial small subunit ribosomal RNA
Source: RNAcentral